GAUGAACGCUGGCGGCGUGCCUAAUACAUGCAAGUCGAGCGAACAGACGAGGAGCUUGCUCCUCUGACGUUAGCGGCGGACGGGUGAGUAACACGUGGAUAACCUACCUAUAAGACUGGGAUAACUUCGGGAAACCGGAGCUAAUACCGGAUAAUAUAUUGAACCGCAUGGUUCAAUAGUGAAAGACGGUUUUGCUGUCACUUAUAGAUGGAUCCGCGCCGCAUUAGCUAGUUGGUAAGGUAACGGCUUACCAAGGCAACGAUGCGUAGCCGACCUGAGAGGGUGGACGGCCACACUGGAAGUGAGACUCGGUCCAGACUCCUACGGGGGGCAGCAGUAGGGAAUCUUCCGCAAUGGGGGAAAGGCUGACAGAGCAACGCCGCGUGAGUGAUGAAGGUGUUCGGAUCGUAAAAUUCUGUUAUUAGGGAAGAACAAAUGUGUAAGUAACUAUGCACGUCUUGACGGUACCUAAUCAGAAAGCCACGGCUAACUACGUG
Molecule: ribosomal RNA, 497 nt
Filed under: uncultured bacterium
Lineage: Bacteria
Description: partial 16S ribosomal RNA
Rfam family: Bacterial small subunit ribosomal RNA
Source: RNAcentral